GAUGAACGCUGGCGGCGUGCCUAAUACAUACAAGUCGAGCGAACAGAUGAGGAGCUUGCUCCUCUGACGUUAGCGGCGGACGGGUGAGUAACACGUGGAUAACCUACCUAUAAGACUGGGAUAACUUCGGGAAACCGGAGCUAAUACCGGAUAAUAUAUUGAACCGCAUGGUUCAAUAGUGAAAGACGGUUUUGCUGUCACUUAUAGAUGGAUCCGCGCCGCAUUAGCUAGUUGGUAAGGUAACGGCUUACCAAGGCAACGAUGCGUAGCCGACCUGAGAGGGUGAUAGGCCACACUGGAACUGAGACACGGUCCAGACUCCUACGGGAGGCAGCAGUAGGGAAUCUUCCGCAAUGGGCGAAAGCCUGACGGAGCAACGCCGCGUGAGUGAUGAAGGUCUUCGGAUCGUAAAACUCUGUUAUUAGGGAAGAACAAAUGUGUAAGUAACUAUGCACGUCUUGACGGUACCUAAUCAGAAAGCCACGGCUAACUACGUG
Molecule: ribosomal RNA, 497 nt
Filed under: uncultured bacterium
Lineage: Bacteria
Description: partial 16S ribosomal RNA
Rfam family: Bacterial small subunit ribosomal RNA
Source: RNAcentral